Molecule: non-coding RNA, 93 nt
Organism: Mycena rebaudengoi
Lineage: Eukaryota; Fungi; Basidiomycota; Agaricomycetes; Agaricales; Mycenaceae
Source: the annotation of a GenBank genome assembly
GCACCGGUGGUGCGCUGGUGCACGCCGCCAUUAAAUAAUAUUGGAGAUCCGAGUGAUUUCAGGCGGAUCGGGGUUCAACUCCCCGCCGGUGCA